This 266-nucleotide ribosomal RNA is filed under the name uncultured bacterium. RNAcentral's name for it is "partial 16S ribosomal RNA". The record is from RNAcentral.
CUGCUGCCUCCCGUAGGAGUCUGGGCCGUGUCUCAGUCCCAGUGUGGCCGUCCACCCUCUCAGGCCGGCUGCUGAUCGUCGCCUUGGUGGACCGUUACCCCGCCAACUGGCUAAUCAGACGCGGGCCCAUCCUGUACCACCGGAGUUUUCAAAGGAUUACCAUGCGGUAUUCCCUAUUAUGCGGUAUUAGCACCUAUUUCUAAGUGUUAUCCCCCGGUACAGGGCAGGUUGCCCACGCGUUACUCACCCGUCCGCCACUAAGACAG